RNAcentral lists this ribosomal RNA (457 nucleotides) under uncultured bacterium. Its description in RNAcentral is "bacterial SSU rRNA". It matches the Rfam family "Bacterial small subunit ribosomal RNA", at positions 32 to 519 of the family's 1533-position model. The record is from RNAcentral.
AAUCAACGCUGGCGGCGUGCCUAACACAUGCAAGUCGCACGAGAAAGGGCAGCAAUGCCUGAGUACAGUGGCGCACGGGUGAGUAACACGUGAAUGAUCUACCUCCGAGUGGGGAAUAACUGAGAGAAAUCUUAGCUAAUACCGCAUAACACUUACGAGUCAAAGCAGCAAUGCGCUUGGAGAGGAGUUCGCGGCAGAUUAGUUAGNGGCGGGGUAAUGGCCCACCAAGACGAUGAUCUGUAUCCGGCCUGAGAGGGCGCACGGACACACUGGAACUGAACACGGUCCAGACUCCUACGGGAGGCAGCAGUGGGGAAUUUUGCGCAAUGGGGGAAACCCUGACGCAGCAACGCCGCGUGGAGGAUGAAAUCCCUUGGGAUGUAAACUCCUUUCGAUCGGGAAGAUAAUGACGGUACCGAGAGAAGAAGCCCCGGCUAACUUCGUGCCAGCCGCCGCA